Molecule: ribosomal RNA, 254 nt
Filed under: uncultured bacterium
Lineage: Bacteria
Description: partial 16S ribosomal RNA
Rfam family: Bacterial small subunit ribosomal RNA
Source: RNAcentral
UACGUAGGCAGCGAGCGUUGUUCGGAGUUACUGGGCGUAAAGGGUGUGUAGGCGGUUGUUUAAGUUUGGUGUGAAAUCUCCCGGCUCAACUGGGAGGGUGCGCCGAAUACUGAAUGACUUGGAGUGCGGGAGAGGAGAGUGGAAUUCCUGGUGUAGCGGUGAAAUGCGUAGAUAUCAGGAGGAACACCUGUGGUGUAGACGGCUUUCUGGACCAUAGCUGACGCUGAGACACGAAAGCGUGGGUAGCAAACAGG